CAUGUAGUUAGCCGGGGCUUCUUACUCAGGUACCGUCUGCUGACCGUAAGGUCAGUAUUUCUUCCCUGCUGAUAGAGCUUUACGUAACGAAUUACUUCUUCACUCACGCGGCGUCGCUGCAUCAGGGUUUCCCCCAUUGUGCAAUAUUCCCCACUGCUGCCUCCCGUAGGAGUCUGGGCCGUGUCUCAGUCCCAAUGUGGCCGUCCGCCCUCUCAGGCCGGCUACUGAUCGUCGCCUUGGUGGGCCGUUACCCCGCCAACAAGCUAAUCAGACGCGGGUCCAUCUUACACCACCGGAGUUUUUCACACUGCUUCAUGCAAAGCUGUGCGCUUAUGCGGUUUUAGCACCUAUUUCUAAGUGUUAUCCCCCUGUGUAAGGCAGGUUACCCACGCGUUACUCACCCGUCCGCCACUAACUCAUAUAUCACUAGGUUUCAAUACGAGUCCGUUCGACUUGCAUGUGUUAAGCACGCCGCCAGCGUUCAUCCUGAGCCAGGAUCAAACU
Molecule: ribosomal RNA, 504 nt
Filed under: uncultured Lachnospiraceae bacterium
Lineage: Bacteria; Bacillati; Bacillota; Clostridia; Lachnospirales; Lachnospiraceae
Description: partial 16S ribosomal RNA
Source: RNAcentral